CUGCUUGGUGCUGUGGGCUGCUGAGAUAAUUUCUGGUGGCCUCUUUGCUCCCCAACUGUGCAGCCAUCAUGGAUGCCUCUAACUCUCCCUGUGAAAACCAUUUCCACGACUAAGUGGGAUACCUUGAGGGGAUGCAGCCUGAUAAGAGCUGGAUCUGGAGAGAGAAGGAGAUAAUCUUAAGCAGGCUCUAUGAUCAUAGUGGAGCCCAACACAGGGAUCAAUCCUACGACCCUGGGAUCACGACCUGAGCCGAAAUGGAGUUGGACGCUCAACUGACUGAACUACCCAUGCACCCACUGCUAUUUAUUUCUAAUAUAAUGCCUUUGUGACAGAGAACAGCUUGUGUAUUCUUUGAAUGAUUUAAAAUGUAUGCAGUUUUGUUUUAUGAUCCAGAAAUAUGGUGUAUCCAAAUAAAUGGUCUAUACACAGUUGAAAAGAAUGUGUA
Molecule: long non-coding RNA, 445 nt
Filed under: Felis catus (domestic cat)
Lineage: Eukaryota; Metazoa; Chordata; Mammalia; Carnivora; Felidae
Description: lncRNA (ENSFCAG00000044510.2)
Source: RNAcentral